GCAUAUCAAUAAGCGGAGGAAAAGAAACCAACAGGGAUUGCCCUAGUAACGGCGAGUGAAGCGGCAACAGCUCAAAUUUGAAAUCUGGCUUCGGCCCGAGUUGUAAUUUGCAGAGGAAGCUUUAGGCGCGGCACCAACUGAGUCCCCUGGAACGGGGCGCCACAGAGGGUGAGAGCCCCGUAUAGUUGGACGCCUAGCCUGUGUAAAGCUCCUUCGACGAGUCGAGUAGUUUGGGAAUGCUGCUCAAAAUGGGAGGUAAAUUUCUUCUAAAGCUAAAUACCGGCCAGAGACCGAUAGCGCACAAGUAGAGUGAUCGAAAGAUGAAAAGCACUUUGAAAAGAGGGUUAAAUAGCACGUGAAAUUGUUGAAAGGGAAGCGCUUGUGACCAGACUUGCGCCCGGCUGAUCAUCCGGUGUUCUCACCGGUGCACUCUGCCGGGCUCAGGCCAGCAUCGGUUCUCGCGGGGGGAUAAAGGCCCUGGGAACGUAGCUCCUCCGGGAGUGUUAUAGCCCAGGGUGUAAUGCCCUCGCGGGGACCGAGGUUCGCGCAUCUGCAAGGAUGCUGGCGUAAUGGUCAUCAGCGACCCGUCUUGAAACACGGACCAAGGAGUCAAGGUUUUGCGCGAGUGUUUGGGUGUAAAACCCGCACGCGUAAUGAAAGUGAACGUAGGUGAGAGCUUCGGCGCAUCAUCGACCGAUCCUGAUGUUUUCGGAUGGAUUUGAGUAGGAGCGUUAAGCCUUGGACCCGAAAGAUGGUGAACUAUGCUUGGAUAGGGUGAAGCCAGAGGAAACUCUGGUGGAGGCUCGCAGCGGUUCUGACGUGCAAAUCGAUCGUCAAAUCUGAGCAUGGGGGGCGAAAGACUAAUCGAACCAUCUAGUAGCUGGUUACCGCCGA
RNAcentral lists this ribosomal RNA (894 nucleotides) under Humicola homopilata. Its description in RNAcentral is "partial large subunit ribosomal RNA". It matches the Rfam family "Eukaryotic large subunit ribosomal RNA", at positions 38 to 964 of the family's 3401-position model. Lineage: Eukaryota; Fungi; Ascomycota; Sordariomycetes; Sordariales; Chaetomiaceae. The record is from RNAcentral.